GACGAACGCUGGCGGCGUGCUUAACACAUGCAAGUCGAACGGAAAGGCCCUGCUUUUGUGGGGUGCUCGAGUGGCGAACGGGUGAGUAACACGUGAGUAACCUGCCCUUGACUUUGGGAUAACUUCAGGAAACUGGGGCUAAUACCGGAUAGGAGCUCCUGCUGCAUGGUGGGGGUUGGAAAGUUUCGGCGGUUGGGGAUGGACUCGCGGCUUAUCAGCUUGUUGGUGGGGUAGUGGCUUACCAAGGCUUUGACGGGUAGCCGGCCUGGGAGGGUGACCGGGCACAUUGGGACUGAGAUACGGCCCAGAGUCCUACGGGAGGCAGCAGUGGGGAAUAUUGCACAAUGGGCGGAAGCCUGAUGCAGCAACGCCGCGUGCGGGAUGCCGGCUUUCGGGGUGUAAACCGCUUUCGCCUGUGACGAAGCGUGAGUGACGGUAAUGGGUAAAGAAGCACCGGCUAACUACGUG
This 468-nucleotide ribosomal RNA is filed under the name uncultured bacterium. Its description in RNAcentral is "partial 16S ribosomal RNA". It matches the Rfam family "Bacterial small subunit ribosomal RNA", at positions 28 to 507 of the family's 1533-position model. The record is from RNAcentral.